CUUCGCCAUCUUUUAUCCUUUAUUCUUUUGGUGAAGUGCAAUUUAGUUUUGCGUUUUCCAGCUACACCAGAUCUACGCGUAACCUCACCUCUCUCUCUCUCUCUCUCUCUCUCUACUACNCCUCUCUCUCUCUCUCUCUCUCUCUAAUUAUAGAUACAUGCAUUUGUAAUUGUAAGGAAUAGGAAGCUCCCAAAAUGAGCAAAGCUUCAUUGAUCGUCUACAUCACUGUGGCCGUGGUCGUCCUACUCCUAAUCUCCCGC
Molecule: long non-coding RNA, 260 nt
Filed under: Salvia miltiorrhiza (redroot sage)
Lineage: Eukaryota; Viridiplantae; Streptophyta; Magnoliopsida; Lamiales; Lamiaceae
Description: long non-coding RNA (SMIL_LNC006924)
Source: RNAcentral